Molecule: long non-coding RNA, 484 nt
Organism: Medicago truncatula (barrel medic)
Lineage: Eukaryota; Viridiplantae; Streptophyta; Magnoliopsida; Fabales; Fabaceae
Exons: 2
Source: RefSeq, a predicted model, not a curated record
ACUAUAAAGUGAUCAAAUCAUAUUAUAAUUGUUACACGGAAAAAAGUGAAAAAAUAUGUCUAAGACUAUAAUGUUUUUGUAUGCUAUGACUUUAUUUCUUUUCUUACUUCAUAUUGAAAAGAGCAGUGGUGUUUUAAUUGACUGCAAAACAGUUAAAGAUUGUCCAACCAGUUAUACUAAAAUAUAUAGGUGCGAAGACAAUAAAUGUAGAUUUAGUUUUGUGAUUGGACUGUGAUUAUAUGAGCUCCAAGAGAGUACACUUAUGCAUGAAAGAAUGAGUCCUUUUAUUAGCAACAAAUCUAUGCAAUAAACUUUUUGAUAAAAUAAUAUAGAGUUGCCAUUUAGUUGUUGUGUUGGCACCUAAUAAUUGUAUUUUUUUUUUUAAAUUUCGUUUUAUUGUGUAAUUUUAUGAACCUUUCAAUUAUGCCAUUGUAAUCUAAGAUAUUGGUAAUGAAAUGGAUCAAGAUACUAAAGAAUAUUAUAA